Molecule: long non-coding RNA, 6657 nt
Organism: Parus major (Great Tit)
Lineage: Eukaryota; Metazoa; Chordata; Aves; Passeriformes; Paridae
Exons: 6
Source: RefSeq, a predicted model, not a curated record
GCCUCCGCCCCGCCGCCGCCCCUCGGAAAAUAAUAAACAAUCGAGUAAAAUGCGGCGCGGCGGCCGCGCCCCCUCCCCUGGAGCUGCCCCUCGCCCGCAGCCCUGCCGCCGGAAAAGCCUUUCCUGAAGGCGCCGUGGCGCUCGCACGAAAAUUGCCUUCAGCCAGAAGCUACUGCUGCUCUGAAGACCAAGUAAAGCCAUCUCUCGGCUUUCCCCGAUCCUCUUGUCUCAAAGCUAAGUUGUGCCAGGCUGCAGGUGCCCUCCAGAUACGAGCUUCGAGGCAGUGGAGAUCUGUGUACGGUGGGAGGGGAAGGGACGGGCUGGGUACGUGUCUGGCAGCCAGGUGUGCCGAUCCAGUGUGCCAAAUACCUAGAGGCAGGGCAGAGACUGGGAGACCUGGAAGCCACACCUCUGAAACCGUGACGGUUGUCUUCGCGGGGCAAAAAUCGUCCCCGAGGUGACUGUCCUGUCCGCAUGAUGCUGUGCAGAGAGAUUCAUCCUCAAUUCUUACUUCGUUGUGGUGGUGCUUACACAGCACAGCCCUAAAAUAGCUCUCACAACCCUGCUUCCCUCUACCUGCAAACAGAAGGCGCGCUUGUACAGCAGGGGAUUUAACCGGGGACCAGGUGACGGGAAUGAGGGCUGCAGGAAAGGAUUUACCUUUUCUCAGGCUCGCAGCCUGGCCUCUCUUUUUGACAGCAGGUGCCCAAUACGGCCUAUUUCACUUCCUCCAAAGAAUUAAUUAUUUUCUCUUGUACGUGGCCCCUGGAGGAAGAAAUCUAAGCACCUCCCUCAUGCUGUCAUCCUGUAUUUCCAGUGAUCAGAGCACUUGUUCAGGAGCUGAAGAUGUGGCUCCUGGUCCUUUUCCCAGAACUUUGUGUUUUCUUCUCUGACAGAUGUUUGAUGUAAAGUACAUAGAGCACACUUUCAAAAGUGGACUGAAAUCCAAGGCUGCUCCCUUCCCUUCCCCAUGGCAAUGUUAUUACUGCUAGGUCAUGGCCUCUCCUUGAUUGCUCCCGUGAAUCCCGAAGCCCCACCCUGUUCCCCCAAGCAGCAGUACGGGUUCAACAGGCUGCUUGGAAAUGGAGCGCUUGUUAGGUUAGCCUGCCUCCCUGGUACGAUACUCUUCGGCAAGGUCAGAGCGAGGCAUCUGAACCCCGGCGGGCAGAAGAAGGAGAAAAUGACCUCGUGUCUCCUGGUGCGAGGGGCACUGCAAGGCACACAGGGGGAAGGAAAUCUCCCCUGGGAAGUUGAGGAAGGGUUCAAAGAGGUUGGUGAAGUGUUAAGCAAAAGCAGUCAGCGGCUUAGCACAUGGUGGGGAAGUCGAUUAUAAGCAUUUGCAGCUGGUUCUCUCUCUCUCUCCUACCUCGGAGGAACUGGGUAACUGCUGACUCAGGAGAUGCAGUCGGAGGAAUGGGAAGGGGGUCAUGUUUCCUGAGUGCCUGUACACGCCGCAGAGCGAUGGGAUAGCGCCGGGCACCUCCUGUCCCGUCUUGGAAGAGCCAUCACAGCGGCGUGCUCUAGGAAGCCAGAGCCUGCUGAAUGACAAGCUGUGGGGCAAUCUUUGCUCUCAGGGCCUGGGCAUUUCCCUUUCACUGGUUCAGCAAGGAUCAACAAGAAGAGGCCAAGUCUGACAAGUAAACCAUGCAUGGUUUGAUCCACCUGGCAAUGAACUCUGGAGGCAUGGGAGGCAACCUUUCUGCUUUUAUCAUGAACCUGAGAGCAGUAUAACCAUCUGGCUAGUUAUAAUUUAACAGAAACCCCAUUUUUCAUCUCACUGUGGUGGUAUGCUUUCUUUUAAAUGUCAACUGUAGAGUCUCUCAGUGAGUGGGAGCUUCAGUUUUGCUUUGUAUUUCUUACAGAUCCUGACAAAAACUAGUCCACCAGGUUACUGAGUAAGAGCCAUAUUCCUUCUUAGAGGCCAAAGCACACGAAAAAGAGUUUGCAGUAACUAUAAUACUUCAAUCAAAAUAUUUUUCAGUAUAUAUUUGUCAUUUAUAGCCAGUAGAAUAAUUGACUGGCUCUUUUAUUAAUUUUGAAAGCUUACAUUCUCAGCAGCUUUAUUAAGCAAGUAAAUUAAUCUUCAGCUUUCCUGUAGGACUGGAGCUUGUUCAUCAUGGCUGUGCCUUCCAUCAUUUUUUGGAAUGUUGGGACUAAUCAUGUGAGAAAAGAUCCUGGAGUGAUGAGGCAGCGUAUUUCCCAUGUCUGAGGUCAGGAUUUUUUCUGUGAAGCUGACCUUUAAAACAGCCUGAAAAUGAGGAACGUGGCACCAGCCAGCAGAGCAGGAAGCAUGAAAUUAUAGUCCUGAGGGACAAACAAAUGGAUAUAAGCACGUACUGUAUUUGUGAGACUAGCACUGGGAUGGCUUGCAUGUUAUAAAUUGAUGUUGAAAAAUGGAUGGUGGAACAUUAGAGCCACACAAAAUGAUUCAGAGCCUGAAGAAAAUGCUUCACAAUGGGAGACAUGAAGCACUUUGUCUCUUUAGUUUAUCAAAAAAGGCCGAGCAGAGAAUUGAUUAUGAUGGUGAAGGAACUUCCUUGGAAGAAAAAUAUCAGCCGUCAUACCUCUGGAAAGCAAUAGAAGUAUCUGCAUGAGCAAAGAUCUCCAGCACAGGAAAGUACAGAGGAUGUAAGAAGAAUAAGGCUUUGGCUGGAGGGAUGGAAGUGCUGAAGACCUGCAGCCACUGCUCUUCACAGAAUGGAGGGGAGCUUCUGAAGAUUUUCCAGUCUGAUCCCUCUGCCAAAGCAGGGUCACUUAGAGCAGGUGACACAGGAACAUGUCCAGGUGGAUUUGGAGUCUCUCCAGAGAAGGACACUUCACAGUCUCCACGGGCAGUCUAUUCCAGUAACAUAGUGAAAUUCUACCUCAUGUUGAGAUGGAACUUACUGUGUUUUAGUUCAUAUCCAUUGUUCCUCUACCUGUCACUGGGCAGCACCGAAAGUAGUCUGGCACCAUCCUCCUGGCUCCUGCCGUUGAGACAGGUGUAGAUGCAUUAAUGGGAUCCCUUCUCAGUCUUCUCUGCUCCAAACUAAACUUUCUGAAAGGGGUCUCAUCCCAGGCUAGUACAGCGUGUUUGCCUGACUUUGUUCUCGGCCUGGCAGUGACAGUCUGGGGUGUAUUUUCACCCUCUCCUUGCCAGGCCGCGGGCCCGCGCCGCCGCCGCCCGGCCACGGAGCGCGCCCGCCAUCUUGUGGGCUCUGCCCGCCUUGCAGGCCGCCCUCAGCCCAACCCUGCGGCGCUCGGGGCUUCAGCGGGAUCUCCAGAGCAGAUUUAGAAUAUGGAGGAUAGCUGGAACUAGAACAGGUUUCCAAAAAAAAGAUGCGGAUGCCCCUGUAAGUGUUCAAGGCCAGGUUGACUGGGGCUCUAAACAACCUGGUCUAGUGGAAGGUGUCCCGGCCCAUGGCAGGGAGGUGGGAACUUUAAGGUCCCUUCUAUCCCAAGCUGUUCUGUGAUUUUGCAAACAAGAGUAGGAGAAAGCCGAAAGCAGUGUCCUAAGGCAGGUGUUCCCUUUUACCUCUGGGAAAUGGCUGAUUGCAGAGGGAGUGGGUGUGUUUCCAGUGCCCCAGCAGGUCCAAGUCUUGUGGGGAACCUGGGCUAUUUGGAUGACUCUUGUUAUCCUAAGGAGAGGUACCCCCACAAUUCCUUGCCAAUCUAGGAUUUAAUAGCCCAAGCCUGCUAAUUUUUUACCAUCAGAGAGGCCAGGGUGUGCAGAUUCUGGAGAAGACAAGUGAAGAACAGGGAAUGCCAUUUGACUGGAAGCGCCACUGAAAUUGCAAUAAACAAUGAGGGCGUUUGAUGAGAAAUUGCCUGCUUGGCACUACUACAACAGCAUGCUGAAGAGAGAGUGAGGCAAGUGCAUGCACACUUCUUUAGAAAAGGCUGAGCAACAAAAUUUUUCCUCCUCUGAGGCAAGAAAAGGGAUUCCAACACACAGUGGAGCUAGAUGAUGGCGUAUGAUGUGCCCAACUACAAAAGCAUUCCUACAGAACUAGGGGCUAGCUUUCCCUUCUCAGUCAGUCUUUCAUGAUAAUUUACUGUUUAUCCUGCCUUAGCCCAGACUCUCUGUUUUGCCUGGAUAAUGGAACAGUGGUACAUCAAUUCACUUAAAAUACAGCAUUGAACUUGUCUGUUGUCACUGAUGGUAGAUGCACCAAAGUUAGAGGAGAGGGACCCACAGAUCCUAACAGCUUCCCUAACAUUUCCUUUCACCAGGAGCAUCUCAGCCCAAGUGAAACAGUAAAAUCUCCCUAGAACCUGUAGUAUGACAGGCUUUGUACACCUGCCCACAUGCAAGAGGGGCAUUCCCCCUUCCACAGGAGAUCUGUGGGGUGAAGGUAAUAGGAAGAUGGGAGUUUGUGUCUGUUUUAAGCCAAGAAAUGGGAAGCUCUGCUGAAACUCGUUUUGCCUUACUUUUACCGUCUGCUUAUCCUAUUAAUAUGCAAAAAGUAUUCAGCCAUCUUUCUGUUUGAAAGACAGGAGGUAAUAGAGUCCAACUUCUCUUUUGUAGGGACCCAUCUUCCACCCUAGUCAUGUACCUAAAUACAUUGGAGGAUUUUGACCCAAAGGCUGAGACUUCUGAAGCUCAUUUCUUGUUUGAGACAUAGGCACUAAUUAAAAUAGGCAUUGUGGCAUUAAUGGUUCAAUGGCUUCAGCUCUAAAUGAGCUGGCAAAGGUGUUCUCAGCCCAGAAUUUUUUUUCUAUUUCCAGCUGUUGCAGUUGAUCAGAGAAGCAGGUCAUAGGAUCACAGCAUCAUAGAAUAUGCUGAGUUGGAAGGAUCCCGCAGGAUCAUCUAAGUCCAACUCCUGGCCCUGCACAGCACCACCCCAAGAAGCACACCUUGCAUCUGAUAGCAUUGUGCAAAUGCUUCUUGAAUUCUCUCGGUCUUGCUGCUGUAAUCACUUCCCUGGGGAGCCUGUGCCCAGCUAAGGGUGAAGAACUUUUUCCUAGUACCCAACCCAACCCUCCCCUGGCCCAGUGUGAGGUCAUUCCCUGUCCAGGUCCUGUCGCUGGUCACCACAGAGAAGAGAUCAGUAUCUGCCCCUCCUCUUCCCCUUUCCACAGUGCUGCGUUCCAGCCUCUCAUUCCCCGUCUGUCCGUGCAUCCAGGAUGCAGAAUCCGCCCCAUCCCAGAUGCAGAGUCCAGCACUUUUCCUCAGUGAACUUCAUAUGGUUGGUGACUGCUCAGUCCUCUGAUUUGUCAAGGUCUCUGCUGGGCCUCCCUGCCCUUGAGGGCUUCAACAGCUUCUCCCAAUUUAGUAUCAUUGGCAAAUUUAUCCAGGAUCCCUUCAGAUUCUGCAUCCAAGUCACUCGUGAAGAUGUUGAAGAGCACAGGGCUGAAGAUGGAGCCCUGUGGAACUCCACUGGUGACAGGUCACCAGUCCAAUGUCACCCAUUCCCUAUAACCCUUUGUGCCUGAGUGGUGAGCCAGUGGCUCACCCAUGGCAUGAUGUGUUUAUCCAGCUGUGUGCCUGACCUUUUGUCCAGAAGGAUACAGUGAGAGACAGUAUUGAAUGCUUCACUGAAAUUCAAAAAGAUUACAUCAACUGGCUUCCCUUGACCAGCUAGGUGGGUUCCCGUGUUGUAAAAUGAAGUUUGACAAGCAAGACCUUCCCCUCAGGAAGCCAUACUGGCUGUGAUCGAUGGAUGGUGGUUUCCAGUUUCCCAGUUGAUAGUGCUCUCCUUGCAAACCUUGUUCCUCUUCCACACCAAGUCACUUACAACGCUUUGCUUCUGAUUCAUCAUCGCCACGUCAUUUUGGAAAACUGAAAUAAAUGCUGGACCAAACCAAGAACUGCAGGGCUGCCUGGAUGCUGUGGAGGUUAAAUAGCAGGAAGCCAGCUGUCAAACCUAUGAGUGUGACAAAAGGAAGAGCUGAGGUGGAGGAGUGGGAUGGAGGGUGCCCAAGCAGCACCAUGCAGGCCACCAAGGGCAAGAAAUGGGAUGAAAGGCAGUCUCUGUUCAGAGGGGGAACACUAGUUAGUCUGAAGAGGAAAAGGGAAUCUGGCAAGGACAAGGGUGCAGUUUUGUAAUGGUACAGAGGACCCCUGGAAAGACCUUGAAAUGAGAACAAUCAAUUAACAAGCUGCUGUGGCUUCAGAAAAGCCAUUAUAGACAUACUGAUGUAAUGAGCACAUCUGAUGCACAGAAGCUAUUUAACCUUCAGCCUCUUGCCUUGUAAAGCACCUCUGGGGCACUGGGUAAAGCUGUUAAUUAUUAAGGUCAACCCUAGCAGACAGAGGUGUCCUCAAGUAUGGAUUGCUGUGAUACACUCAGAUAAUUUCUCCAUUAUGUCAAUAACUAAUUUCCUGAAUUGUUCAAGAAUUGACAGAUUAGCAUCCAUUAAUCAAGUCUUAACUCAUGGCUAUGGGAGCAGUUACAGGCCACAAGGACUGCAGAACACAUUCAUAACUCCUUGAGCACAUGUAAUACAUAUACAUAGCAGCAGCUUGGUGUUGGUAAAACAAAUAACCAACAUAUGUAAAAAUGCUGGGCAGGCAGUGGCAGGCACCAGCUUGAGCAGGUGUCUUGAUGUUUGUCCUCAGGUGCUCUGAGAGCACAGGAUGAAGUCACUCUCACUUUUAAAGAACUGUGUAUUGAGGAAUUGUAAAUUAACUGAAUAAUAACCAAACCAAAAUACCUAUUAUAUUCACUACCAAAA